GACGAACGCUGGCGGCGUGCCUAAUACAUGCAAGUCGAGCGGGGAUUAUGCUUGAUCGCUUCGGUGAGACGGCAUAUAUCCUAGCGGCGGACGGGUGAGUAACGCGUGGGUAAUCUACCUCGUAGUUCGGGAUAACAGGCCGAAAGGCUUGCUAAUACCGGAUGAGUUCAUGCUUAUGCAUAUAGGCAUGAAGAAAGGGCUAGCCCGCUAUGAGAUGAGCCCGCGUCCCAUUAGCUUGUUGGUGGGGUAAUGGCCUACCAAGGCAACGAUGGGUAGCCGGCCUGAGAGGGUGUACGGCCACACUGGGACUGAGACACGGCCCAGACUCCUACGGGGGGCAGCAGUAGGGAAUUUUCGGCAAUGGGCGAAAGCCUGACCGAGCGACGCCGCGUGAGGGACGAAGGCCUUCGGGUUGUAAACCUCUGCCUGGGGGAGUGAGAACGGACGGUACCCCGGACGGAAGCCCCGGCUAACGUACGUGCCAGCCAGCCGCGGUAAAAGUACUCUAU
This 509-nucleotide ribosomal RNA is filed under the name uncultured bacterium. RNAcentral's name for it is "bacterial SSU rRNA". It matches the Rfam family "Bacterial small subunit ribosomal RNA", at positions 28 to 529 of the family's 1533-position model. The record is from RNAcentral.